Long non-coding RNA from Homo sapiens (human), 3268 nucleotides. Ensembl annotates it as long intergenic non-protein coding RNA 923. NCBI's taxonomy places the organism in Eukaryota, Metazoa, Chordata, Mammalia, Primates, Hominidae. The record is from Ensembl.
UUGAGUGCGGAGGAUGGACACCUACAUUGGCAGAGGCUUGAGAGAGAUGAGGACAUAGAAAGAUGAACUUAAAGCUGAAAAGUGAACUUAAAGCUGGAAAAAAUGAAGCAAUCUCAGCUAUGAUAGCUGUAAUAGAAAAAUGGAGUUUUCCUCAGUUUUUCUUCCUCAGAAUAAAUGGGAUGAUCCUGAUGGCUGUUUAAGUGGAGAGGAUUUGUUUGGUAUGGCUGCUGGUGCUGGCCUUGGAGGAUCUGCAUUGGCUGCGGUCUGCAGUUAGGUCCAGACUGCCAGUCCCAGCGCCUUAGAGACCUCUGGAAAUCAGGCGAGGAGACCAGCCGUCUGAGAGAGCUCCACUCUCUGGCUGCCCCUGCCAGAGUGCCCAAAUAAGGAAGAGCUGUCACAUCAAGGUUUUGUCAUGUGCUAGGCACUGCACAAAGCACUUGAAUGACAUCCUUGAAACUUUUCCCAUACUGAUCAUACUGGAGGAUGUCCAGAGAAAUACAGAAAAGUGGUUUGGAGGGGAGUAGCUGAUGAUGCAGCAUUUAAUGAGAAAAGUAUGUGAAAGAGUUUGUUCAGAGGACAGCUAUCUGGCUUUUGAUGGGACUUCAAACCACAUCAGAUGUGGAGCUAAUAAAGAAAGUUAAUUAUUGAAGCACUGAGAACAUUUUACAUUCCUGGCUUGUGGUUGCGUCUUGCAAACGUGAGACUAAUGAGAGCAAGUUCUCACCCCAACUCUGAACUUGCUGACUUAUCUGAUUUAAAAUCCGAGCAUUUGAACAUUGCAAGAACUCUACAUCUUCAACAUUUUGUAGAGCAUUCCCUGCGAUGUGGAAAAUUCUGCUGGGCUAUUCCCUGAGGACACCUCUACCUUUCGUGUCCAGAAUUGGUGGGUUCUUGGUCUCACUGACUUCAAGAAUGAAGCCGCGGACCCUCGCAACAUUGGUGUGCAAGUGGCAAAAAGAGUCCUGUCCCAGCACUGCAAGGGGAAGAUAAAGGCUCGUCAUCUGUGCGUGCGUCCAUCUGAGUGGAACGUGUGUCCCGGGGGCUGCUGCCACCGCGCCGGUCCCUCCUGUAAUCCGAGCCCGUGUCAGAGGACGCGGCGCCUGCAAGGAAGAAGGGUUGCCGCAGGUGUGGCCAGAUCCUCUAGGCAAGAGGUGUGGAUUCAGGUCCUACUAGUCUUACUCCUGAUGAAGCUGGGCAAAUCAGUUGGCUCUGGAGUAAUUAGUAGCCCCUUCCUCACUGACCAUUGCAAGGAAAUACCAGUGAACUUGAGUUUCUCCAAUGAAGGUGAUCACAGUGAUGAAUGACUUGGCUUCUGCACAGCAAAAGACAUGAUCAUCAGAGCGAACAGACAACCUACAGAAUGGGAGAGCAUUUGUGCCAUCUAUCCAUCUGACAAAAGUCUAAAAUCCAAAGUUUACAAAGAACUUAAACAAAUUUACAAGAAAAAAACAAACGACCCCGUUAAAAAGUGGGCAAAGGAGAUGAACAGACACUUCUCCAAAGAAGACAUUCAUGCAGCCAACAAAGAUAUGAAAAAAGCUCGACAUUACUACUCAUUAGAGAAAUCCAAAUCAAAACCACAAUGAGAUACCACCACAUGCCAGUCAGAAUGGCAAUUAUUAAAAAGUCAAUAAACAACAGAUGCUGGUGAGAUUGUGGAGAAAAAGGAACACUUUUACACUGUUGGUGGGAAUGUAAAUUAGUUCAAACAUUGUGGAAGACAGUGUGGUGAUUCCUUAAAGAACUAGAAGCAGAAAUACCAUUUGACCCAGCAAUUCCAUUCCUGGGUAUCUACCCAAAGGAAUAUAAAUCAUUUCAUUAUAAAGAUACAUGUACGCGUAUGUUCAUUACAGCACCAAUCACAAUAGCAAAGACAUGGAAUCAAUCCAAAUGCCAAUCAAUGAUAGACUGAAUUAGAAAAAAAAAGUAGUACAUGUAUACCAUGAAUACUAUGCAGCCAUAAAAGGAAUGAGAUCAUGUUCUUUGCAGGGUCAUGGAUGGAGCUGGAAGCCGUUACUUUCAGCAAACUAACACAGGAACAGAAAGCCAAACACUGCAUGUUCUCACUUAUAAGUGAGAGCAGAAUGAUGAGAACACAUGGACACAUUAGGGGGAUCAACACACACUGGGGCCUGUUGUGGGGAUGGAGGGAGGGAGAGCAUCAGAAGAAUAGUUAAUGGAUGUUGGGCUUAAUACCUAGGUGAUGGUUUGUGAUAUGGUUAGGCUUUUUGUCCCCACCCAGAUCUUAUCUUGAAUUGUAAUCCCUGUAAUCGCCAAGUGUCUAGGGAGAUACCUGGUAGGGGGUGAUUAAAUCAUGGGGGCGGUUUCCCCCAUGCUGUGGUUGUACGGAAAAGAAAGAGAGAUCAGACUGUUACCGUGUCUAUGUAGAAAGGAAAGACAUAAGAGACUCCAUUUUGAAAAAGACUUGUACUUUAAACAAUUGCUUUGCUGACAUGUUGUUAAUUUGUAGCUUUGCCCCAACCACUUUGCCCAAACCACUUUGACCCAACCUGGAGCUCACAAAAACAUGUGUUGUAUGAAAUCAAGGUUUAAGGGAUCUAGGGCUGUGCAGGACGUGCCUUAUUAACAAAAUGUUUACAAGCAGUAUACUUGGUAAAAGUCAUUGCCAUUCUCUAGUCUCAGUAAACCAGGGGCACAAUGCACUGCGGAAAGCUGCAGGGACCUCUGCCCUUGAAAGCUGGGUCUUGUCCAAGGUUUCUCCCCAUGCGAUAGUCUGAAAUAUGGCCUCGUGGGAUGAGAAAGACCUGACCGUCCCCCAGCCCGACACCCGUAAAGGGUUUGUGCUGAGGUGGAUUAGUAAAAGAGGAAAGCCUCUUGCAGUUGAGAUAGAGGAAGGCUACUGUCUCCUGCCUGCCCCUGGGAACUGAAUGUCUCGGUAUAAAACCCGAUUGUACAUUUGUUCAAUUCUGAGAUGAGAGGAAAACCACCCUGUGGUGGGAGGCGAGACAUGUUUGCAGCAAUGCUGCCUUGUUAUUCUUUACUCCACUGAGAUGUUUGGGUGGAGAGAAACAUAAAUCUGGCUUACGUGUAUGUCCAGUCAUAGUACCUUCCCUUGAACUUAAUUAUGACGUAGAUUCUAUUGCUCACAUGUUUGUUGCUGACCUUCUCCUUAUUAUCACCCUGCUCUCCUACUACAUUCCUUUUUGCUGAAAUAAUGAAAAUAAUAAUCAAUAAAAACUGAGGGAACUCAGAGACCGGUGCCAGUGCAGGUCCUUGGUAUGCUGAGCGCCGGUCCCCUGGGCCCACU